Molecule: ribosomal RNA, 459 nt
Filed under: uncultured bacterium
Lineage: Bacteria
Description: partial 16S ribosomal RNA
Rfam family: Bacterial small subunit ribosomal RNA
Source: RNAcentral
CCUACGGGUGGCAGCAGUGAGGAAUAUUGGUCAAUGGGCGCGAGCCUGAACCAGCCAAGUCGCGUGAGGGAAGACGGUCCUAUGGAUUGUAAACCUCUUUUGUCGGGGAGCAAAUGACGCCACGCGUGGCGUUCCGAGAGUACCCGAAGAAAAAGGAUCGACUAACCCCGUGCCAGCAGACGCGGUAAUACGGGGGAUGCGAGCUUUAUCCGGGUUUGUUGGGUUUAAAGGCUGCGCAGGGGGAAGUUCAAGUCAGCGGUAAAAUUGGGGGGUUCAACCUCUUCGAGCAUUUGAAACUGGUUUUCUUGAGUGAGCGAGAAGUAUGUGGAAUGCGUGGUGUAGCGGUGAAAUGCAUAGAUAUCACGCAGAACUCCGAUUGCGAAGGCAGCAUACCGGCGCUCAACUGACGCUCAUGCACGAAAGUGUGGGGAUCGAACAGGAUUAGAUACCCGAGUAGUC